This 850-nucleotide ribosomal RNA is filed under the name uncultured bacterium. RNAcentral's name for it is "bacterial SSU rRNA". It matches the Rfam family "Bacterial small subunit ribosomal RNA", at positions 58 to 916 of the family's 1533-position model. The record is from RNAcentral.
CAAGUCGAACGAUGAAAGUGGGAGCUUGCUCCUGCCGGAUUAGUGGCGAACGGGUGAGCAACACGUGAGCAAUCUGCCCUUGACUCUGGGAUAACUCCGAGAAAUCGGUGCUAAUACCGGAUAUGACCCCUGGCGGCAUCGCUGGGGGUGGAAAGUUUUUCGGUCAAGGAUGAGCUCGCGGCCUAUCAGCUUGUUGGUGAGGUAAUGGCUCACCAAGGCGACGACGGGUAGCCGGCCUGAGAGGGUGACCGGCCACACUGGGACUGAGACACGGCCCAGACUCCUACGGGAGGCAGCAGUGGGGAAUAUUGCACAAUGGGCGAAAGCCUGAUGCAGCAACGCCGCGUGGGGGACGACGGCCUUCGGGUUGUAAACCUCUUUUAGCAGGGAAGAAGCGAAAGUGACGGUACCUGCAGAAAAAGCACCGGCUAACUACGUGCCAGCAGCCGCGGUAAUACGUAGGGUGCAAGCGUUGUCCGGAAUUAUUGGGCGUAAAGAGCUCGUAGGCGGUUGGUCGCGUCUGCUGUGAAAACCCGAGGCUCAACCUCGGGCCUGCAGUGGGUACGGGCCAACUAGAGUGCGGUAGGGGAGAUCGGAAUUCCUGGUGUAGCGGUGGAAUGCGCAGAUAUCAGGAGGAACACCAAUGGCGAAGGCAGAUCUCUGGGCCGUAACUGACGCUGAGGAGCGAAAGCGUGGGGAGCGAACAGGAUUAGAUACCCUGGUAGUCCACGCCGUAAACGGUGGGAACUAGUUGUAGGGGCCAUUCCACGGCUUCUGUGACGAAGCUAACGCAUUAAGUUCCCCGCCUGGGGAGUACGGCCGCAAGGCUAAAACUCAAAGGAAUUGACGG